RNAcentral lists this ribosomal RNA (508 nucleotides) under uncultured bacterium. Its description in RNAcentral is "bacterial SSU rRNA". It matches the Rfam family "Bacterial small subunit ribosomal RNA", at positions 29 to 518 of the family's 1533-position model. The record is from RNAcentral.
AUGAACGCUGGCGGCGUGCUUAACACAUGCAAGUCGAACGCGAAAGGGACUUCGGUCCUGAGUAAAGUGGCGCACGGGGUGAGUAACGCGUGGAUAAUCUGCCCUUAUGGUCGGGAUAACAGUUGGAAACGGCUGCUAAUACCGGAUACGCUCAAAAUGAACUUUUUGAGGAAAGAUGGCCUCUGCUUGCAUGCUAUCGCGUAAGGAUGAGUCCGCGUCCCAUUAGCUUGUUGGCGGGUAACGGCCCACCAAGGCAACGAUGGGUAGCCGAUUUGAGAGGAUGAUCGGCCACACUGGAACUGAAACACGGUCCAGACUCCUACGGGAGGCAGCAGUGGGGAAUAUUGCGCAAUGGGCGAAAGCCUGACGCAGCGACGCCGCGUGAGGGAUGAAGGUUUUUCCGGAUCGUAAACCUCUGUCAGAAGGGAAGAAACUACAUUGUGCUAAUCAGCAGUGUACUGACGGUACCUUCAGAGGAAGCACCGGCUAACUCCGUGCCAGCAGCAGC